CUACGGGGUGCAGCAGUGAGGAAUAUUGCACAAUGGGGGAACCCUGAUGCAGCAACGCCGCGUGGAGGAUGACGCAUUUCGGUGUGUAAACUCCUUUUAUAUGUCAAGAAAAUGACGGUAGCAUAUGAAUAAGCACCGGCUAACUCCGUGCCAGCAGCCGCGGUAAUACGGAGGGUGCAAGCGUUACUCGGAAUCACUGGGCGUAAAGGACGCGUAGGCGGGUUGGAAAGUCAGGUGUGAAAUCCUACAGCUUAACUGUAGAACUGCACUUGAAACUUCUAAUCUAGAGGAUGGGAGGGGGAGAUGGAAUUAGUGGUGUAGGGGUAAAAUCCGUAGAUAUCACUAGGAAUACCUAAAGCGAAGGCGAUCUCCUGGAACAUUACUGACGCUAAGGCGUGAAAGCGUGAGGAGCAAACAGGAUUAGAUACCCUGGUAGUC
RNAcentral lists this ribosomal RNA (438 nucleotides) under uncultured bacterium. Its description in RNAcentral is "partial 16S ribosomal RNA". It matches the Rfam family "Bacterial small subunit ribosomal RNA", at positions 339 to 795 of the family's 1533-position model. The record is from RNAcentral.